UACGUAGGGUGCAAGCGUUGUCCGGAAUUAUUGGGCGUAAAGAGCUCGUAGGCGGUUUGUCGCGUCUGCUGUGAAAUCUGGAGGCUCAACCUCCAGCCUGCAGUGGGUACGGGCAGACUAGAGUGCGGUAGGGGAGAUUGGAACUCCUGGUGUAGCGGUGGAAUGCGCAGAUAUCAGGAAGAACACCCGUAGCGAAGGCGGCACUCUGGGACGGUACUGACGCUGAGACGCGAAAGCGUGGGGAGCGAACAGG
This 253-nucleotide ribosomal RNA is filed under the name uncultured bacterium. RNAcentral's name for it is "partial 16S ribosomal RNA". It matches the Rfam family "Bacterial small subunit ribosomal RNA", at positions 524 to 776 of the family's 1533-position model. The record is from RNAcentral.